This 221-nucleotide long non-coding RNA is filed under the name Gossypium barbadense (sea-island cotton). RNAcentral's name for it is "long non-coding RNA (GBAR_LNC011899)". Lineage: Eukaryota; Viridiplantae; Streptophyta; Magnoliopsida; Malvales; Malvaceae. The record is from RNAcentral.
AUUCUUCUUCUUAAAAAAAAAACAGAAAAAGGCUCUCAACUCUCUCCUCAUUUCCUAACUCCGGCCAUGGCUCCAGCCACUAGCUACCGUGACGGCCGUCGGUCGCCGGUGACGGCGCCGAGGUCCACGGUGGUCGAAAAAUUGAAAAAGGCCCAUUUUCAGCGUUUCGACUCCCCGAGCCCAAAAUCACAACAUUUUUCAUCGGAAACGACGAACCUCAG